AACGUAACACAUCCAUUAUAACAGUAGGACAAGGUAGCACAUCCAUUAUAACAGUAGGACAAGGUAACACAUCCAUUAUAACAGUAGGACAAGGUAACACAUCCAUUAUAACAGUAGGACUGGGACAAGGUAACACAUCCAUUAUAACAGUAGGACAAGGUAACACAUCCAUUAUAACAGUAGGACAAGGUAACACAUCCAUUAUAACAGUAGGACAAGGUAACACAUCCAUUAUAACAGUAGGACAAGGUAACACAUCCAUUAUAACAGUAGGACUGGGACAAGGUAACACAUCCAUUAUAACAGUAGGACUGGGACAAGGUAACAC
This is a long non-coding RNA of Oncorhynchus keta (chum salmon), 328 nucleotides long. RefSeq lists it as uncharacterized. NCBI's taxonomy places the organism in Eukaryota, Metazoa, Chordata, Actinopteri, Salmoniformes, Salmonidae. The record is from RefSeq and is a predicted model, not a curated record. The transcript has 4 exons.